AUGGAUUGGAGAGAGAGGAAGGGUGAGAAUUUCUCGCACACUCUCUCCUAGAGCUUGGCAGUGCUUGUCUGUCCGUGGAUGUCAGAGCUCUAGGUCUUCCACCUUUGUACUCUAGGACUCAUACCAGCAGUUCCUAGGCUCUCCAGCCUUCAGCCUUGGACUGAGAAUGUUACCACCAGCUUCCCUGAUUCCCAGGCCUUCGGACUUGGUCUGAACCACACUACCGGCUUUCUUGGUUCUUCAGCUUCCAGAUGGCCUAUUGUGGGAUUUCUCAGCCUCUGUAAUUGUAGUCUUCAGGUUUUUCCAUAUAUAACAUCAUAUCAUCUGCAAACAAGGACAAUCUGACUUCUUCCUUUAUGAACUUUGGAGAAGUUUCCUGUCUGUAAAAAGGAGUCUCCCAUCAGCCUUUGCAGGGAAUUUUUACAGGUCAGCUGCUGCUCCUGGAAGCCAGCAGGUCUUCCUCCAUCAUACAAAAGACAAAUACAUGCAAAGCAGUUUCUAACAGAACCAGAAAUAACCUGCUGUAGAGGAAUUCGAAUACAUCACCGGACACAUGCGCUUUUUCAUAGAUACCCUGCAGAAGCUUUUACUCAGGAAGCUUUCCUGUAGUGUGGCAGGGACCUAGGGAUGUAAGCAGAGAACUGCGAC
This 648-nucleotide long non-coding RNA is filed under the name Homo sapiens (human). Its description in RNAcentral is "HSALNT0094245". The record is from RNAcentral. Lineage: Eukaryota; Metazoa; Chordata; Mammalia; Primates; Hominidae.